CCUACGGGAGGCAGCAGUGAGGAAUAUUGGUCAAUGGCCGGAAGGCUGAACCAGCCAUGCCGCGUGAAGGUCAGUGCCCUAUGGGCGUUAAACUUCUUUUGUGCGGGAGCAAUAAUGGUCACGUGUGGCCAGACGAGAGUACCGUACGAAUAAGCAUCGGCUAACUCCGUGCCAGCAGCCGCGGUAAUACGGGGGAUGCAAGCGUUAUCCGGGAUUAUUGGGGUUAAAGGGUGCGUAGGCUGUGAGGUAAGUCAGCGGUGAAAUGCCCCCGCUCAACGGGGUGAAGUGCCAUUGAUACUGUCUUGCUGGAAUGCGGAUGCCGUGGGAGGAAUGUGUGGUGUAGCGGUGAAAUGCAUAGAUAUCACACAGAACACCGAUUGCGAAGGCAUCUCACGAAUCCGCGAUUGACGCUGAUGCACGAAAGCGUGGGUAUCAAACAGGAUUAGAUACCCGAGUAGUC
This 460-nucleotide ribosomal RNA is filed under the name uncultured bacterium. Its description in RNAcentral is "partial 16S ribosomal RNA". It matches the Rfam family "Bacterial small subunit ribosomal RNA", at positions 338 to 795 of the family's 1533-position model. The record is from RNAcentral.